Molecule: long non-coding RNA, 562 nt
Organism: Lemur catta (Ring-tailed lemur)
Lineage: Eukaryota; Metazoa; Chordata; Mammalia; Primates; Lemuridae
Exons: 3
Source: RefSeq, a predicted model, not a curated record
UCUGCCUCAGAACAUCCGUCCCAUUCCCACUGCUUGAAUCACCUCCACACAAAGCUUAAAUGUCUCACUCCCCAUAUUCAUUAACUCUCUAGUUAAAUAGAAAUUGUCUCUGUUAAUAGGUCUAUACAGUUAUUAAUAAUUCCAAAUGUUUUGGAAACUGCAAUUUUGUGAAACUUUAAAAUUACAGGGAUAAAAUUUGUAUUCAUUAAUGUUCUUUUCAGGAAGAACUACAUUGACGCCACCUUAGGCAGAUGGCAUUUAUCUUAUUUCUCAAAGGCCUACGGAAGAGAUAAAAUUGGUAGGAGGCCAUUAUUUGCACUGAGCUCCUCCACUGGGCCCAACAGACCAAACCACAAUGGAGUCACUCGUGCCAAAGCUGCAUGUCACGGAGCCGAAACUGAGCUGUUGAUCUGACCUUCUGAGAAACCAGGAGAGUGAGAGCUUUUUGCUGCCUCUAAAAACCAACCUCCUCUGCUCAUCGGAACACUCAUUCUAUUUUACAGAAUGAAGUGUUGCCCAGUUCUAGAAUCACAAAUAAAAGCCAAUAAAGAUCUUUAAACUA